AUGAUUGCUUUAUUGGUACACUCGAAGUAUUAUUGUUUUUUAUGUCAAAUGAUAGACUAUUGCUUUGAAUCACUCCUGAUGCCUCUCCCUCAAAUAGAAUUGCAAUACAAUUUUGUUUCCAGAUGUUGCACUGAAUUUGAAAGAAAGAUUACUCAAGGAUUACAUGGAGUACCCUUUUGGAUCUUCUUUACAGUAGAUGCACUGAAAAUUUCUGAAUUUUGUUUGCAGUAUGGGUUAAUUCUUGUCUUGUUUUUUUACACACAGGUUGGUGCUACUGUUCGUGUUGGGCUAGUUGCCCCUAUUGAUGUGGUGGUUCCCCCUGGCAACACUGGUCUGGAUCCCUCCCAGACAUCCUUCUUCCAGGUGCUUAACAUUCCCACCAAGAUUAACAAGGGUACUGUGGAUAUUACUAUACCAGUGGAGCUCAUUAAUAAGGGUGACAAGGUGGGCUCCUCCGAGUCUGCCCUGCUUGCCAAGCUUGGUAUCCGCCCCUUCUCACAUGGGUUGGUCAUCUGCAAUGUCUAUGACAGCGGGUCAGUCUUCAGCCCUGAGGUUCUUGACCUCACUGAGGAAGACCUGAUGGACAAGUUUGCUUCUGGUGUUUCCAUGGUUGCCUCACUGUCCCUGAAGAUCUCAUACCCCACCAUGGCUAUUGCGCCACACAUGUUCCUCAACGCAUACAAGAAUGUUCUUGCGGUUGCUCUGGAGACAGACUACUCAUAUGACCAUGCUGAUAAGAUCAAGGAGUACCUCAAGGGAGAUCAAGGAGGGGAAGGAGGGAUAACAGAGGAGUUUAACAUAUAUAUAGGUAGGCCACGCGGAGUAUAA
RNAcentral lists this ribosomal RNA (828 nucleotides) under Triticum aestivum (bread wheat). RNAcentral describes it as "partial small subunit ribosomal RNA". The record is from RNAcentral. Lineage: Eukaryota; Viridiplantae; Streptophyta; Magnoliopsida; Poales; Poaceae.